CCCUACGGGAGGCAGCAGUGGGGAAUAUUGCACAAUGGGCGCAAGCCUGAUGCAGCCAUGCCGCGUGUAUGAAGAAGGCCUUCGGGUUGUAAAGUACUUUCAGCGGGGAGGAAGGCGAUGCGGUUAAUAACCGCGUCGAUUGACGUUACCCGCAGAAGAAGCACCGGCUAACUCCGUGCCAGCAGCCGCGGUAAU
Molecule: ribosomal RNA, 195 nt
Filed under: uncultured bacterium
Lineage: Bacteria
Description: partial 16S ribosomal RNA
Rfam family: Bacterial small subunit ribosomal RNA
Source: RNAcentral